AUACUUACCUGGUAGGGGAGAUACCAUGAUCACGAAGGUGGUUUUCCCAGGGCGAAGCUUAUCCGUUGCACUCCAGAUGUGCCGACCCCUGCAAUUUCCCCAAAUGUGGGGAACUCAACUACAUAAUUUGUGGUAGUGGGGGACUGUGUUCGCACUCACCCCUA
RNAcentral lists this small nuclear RNA (164 nucleotides) under Carlito syrichta (Philippine tarsier). Its description in RNAcentral is "U1 spliceosomal RNA (ENSTSYG00000026334.1)". It matches the Rfam family "U1 spliceosomal RNA". From Rfam's summary of the family: U1 is a small nuclear RNA (snRNA) component of the spliceosome (involved in pre-mRNA splicing). Its 5' end forms complementary base pairs with the 5' splice junction, thus defining the 5' donor site of an intron. There are significant differences in sequence and secondary structure between metazoan and yeast U1 snRNAs, the latter being much longer (568 nucleotides as compared to 164 nucleotides in human). Lineage: Eukaryota; Metazoa; Chordata; Mammalia; Primates; Tarsiidae. The record is from Rfam by way of RNAcentral.